UACGUAGGGGGCGAGCGUUGUCCGGAAUGACUGGGCGUAAAGGGCGUGUAGGCGGCUUUUUAAGUCUGGAGUGAAAGCCCCUUUUUCAAGGAGGGGAGUGCUUUGGAGACUGGAGAGCUUGAGUGCGGAAGAGGUAAGUGGAAUUCCCAGUGUAGCGGUGAAAUGCGUAGAGAUUGGGAGGAACACCAGUGGCGAAGGCGACUUACUGGGCCGUAACUGACGCUGAGGCGCGAAAGCGUGGGGAGCGAACAGG
Molecule: ribosomal RNA, 253 nt
Filed under: uncultured bacterium
Lineage: Bacteria
Also listed under: 1 other name
Description: partial 16S ribosomal RNA
Rfam family: Bacterial small subunit ribosomal RNA
Source: RNAcentral